Molecule: long non-coding RNA, 1359 nt
Organism: Cynoglossus semilaevis (tongue sole)
Lineage: Eukaryota; Metazoa; Chordata; Actinopteri; Pleuronectiformes; Cynoglossidae
Exons: 8
Source: RefSeq, a predicted model, not a curated record
CACUUCCUGUUCCUGAAACAAAGCUCCUGAAUUAAAGUCUCCAGGAAAGUCCACUUUAUGAACAGACUGAAGUUCGAUCUCGAAGAUGACGUUGAGCCAAACACCUGCUUUACCCUCGCUGGUCUGAGAUCAGCCCUGAUGAGUGGUCAAGCUGCCAGAGCAGCUGUGAUGGAUGGACUGGAGCUCCUGGCUGUGAACUCACAUUAUCAAUAAGGACCGUGGCCUGGAGACAGUCAAACCCAGUGGAGGGGAGAUGUACGUGACCCCUGACCCCCGACCCCCGACCCCUGACCUCAGAAGACGUUCCAUCCAACGAUCCAGCUCCGUCUUCUACCUUUGGGUCCAGGAGACAGAAGCAGGGUGAGAAGAAAAGAAAAAAAGGUCGGAAACACCUCUGACAUGUCAACGCACUCAGAGCUGAGAGAUUCCCUGUGCUGCUCUGCUGCCACCUAAUGGGUCAGUUUUUCAUCGCAAGACCUUUUCCCGCAAGAGACGUCCAGUCAACAGAGGAUGGAAAGAGAAACUACAGACAGAGGGCGACGUGGAUCCAGAUGAACUCCAACACCGUACACCUCUAGUGACUAAGUCGUCAAACAGGAUGUGGUUCCAGUUUUCCCAGAGGAGAAGGAAGAGGAUCGGAACUGAAGCCACGGUCACGUGACUGAACUGAGAGGUCGACGCCACACUGUGUGACGAGAGGAAGUCCAGCAGUCACCUUCAUCAUCAUCAUCAUCAUGCCUCUACUGCUUCAGGGCGUUCCUCAAAGUUACAGUAUCACUGCUUCCUACAAAUGGGUUGGUGAGUACUCACAUUUAUUCUCUGUAUUUUACAUUACAAAAUGUUAUCUCUGUGUCACAAGACGUAGAAGUCAGUGCACAUUAUUGUUUUCAAUUGUAAUUGUAGUUUACAGUUUUUUGUAAAUCUCUAAAUAUAUAAUAUUCGGAGCAUGUAGGCUGAAACGAUACAUUUGAAGUGGUACAUUCUUUGUUUAGAGAAAAUAUUGCAAUUUAGAAUUUUAGGAACCUUUUUCUUCAAAACAACUAGUAUAAUAUUUGGAUUUUAAUCCAUUCUUUUCAUACUGAAACACUAAAUGUGCUCUUUAGGAAAAGACAAAGUUAAAUUUGUAUCAAAUUGUAAGUUGCUUUGGAUAAAAGCGUCUGCUUAACGACUGUAUUUAUACUGGCCCUACUGACUUAGUGCUGCAAUAGUACAGAAAGAGCACAGUCUUCUGGUAGCUAUGGUUCUGUGCAGUUAACGUAUCUUGUUUCCAAAUUUGUACUGAACUCUAAAAUAACAAUAAUGAAAAUAAUUGUCUGUUUCAAUUGCCUAAUCACAGUGUUAUUAUAUUUUGACUUACGU